CAACAGUUGGAACGACUGCUAAUACCCAUAUGCUUCGAGUAAAUAGUUUUCUGCCUAAGGAAGAGCUCGCGGCUGAUUAGCUAGUUGGUAGGGUAAAGGCCUACCAAGGCGACGAUCAGUAUCUGGUUUGAGAGGACGAUCAGACACACUGGGACUGAGACACGGUCCAGACUCCUACGGGAGGCAGCAGUGGGGNAUUUUCCGCAAUGGGCGAAAGCCUGACGGAGCAAUACCGCGUGAGGGAUUAAGGCCUGUGGGUUGUAAACCUCUUUUUUCAGGGAGGAAGAUCUGACGUGUACCUGAAGNAUAAGCAU
RNAcentral lists this ribosomal RNA (314 nucleotides) under uncultured cyanobacterium. Its description in RNAcentral is "bacterial SSU rRNA". It matches the Rfam family "Bacterial small subunit ribosomal RNA", at positions 144 to 493 of the family's 1533-position model. The record is from RNAcentral. Lineage: Bacteria; Bacillati; Cyanobacteriota.